This is a long non-coding RNA of Passer domesticus (house sparrow), 5765 nucleotides long. RefSeq lists it as uncharacterized. The transcript is spliced from 7 exons. Lineage: Eukaryota; Metazoa; Chordata; Aves; Passeriformes; Passeridae. The record is from RefSeq and is a predicted model, not a curated record.
GUUUGCAGCCCCAGGACAGCUGUGCUGGUUCUUUCAUCCUGCCCUCCUCACAGAGCAGUCCUGGGGUGCAGACAGGAGAAUGUGGAGCUCCUGGAGUCUUGUUCAGGCUCAGGUGAACCAGCCAUGAGUGUCCCCAAACCAGCACCAAGCUGCCACUCUGGUCAUCCCAGGUCCCCAAGCAGAAACGUUCUCCCUUUGCAAGUGGAAAGAGGAUGUCUAAAGAAAUCUCUGCAGAGCUCUGACCUGCGCUCCCAGUGGAGCUGGGGUUAGCAGCACUCCUGUCUCCAGCUGUGAGGAGUGCAAAUGGGCUCUGCCAAGCCUCCCAGAUCUCUGCCAAUUUUGUCUCACAGGUGAUUUACAUUUAAGCCCAGAUGCAAACUGAGAUUUCACGGCUGGUGUUCUUAGUGUAGACUAAACCAAAAUCUUGGAUCCAAAGCUUGUCAGUGUUCAAAGUAAAUUAUAUCAUAGUUUAUUCUCCUUUCUGGCAGAGGUGGAGUGAAAUUCUCAGGCAGACAUCUGUGUACAGUGAAGAAAGCUCCAUGGAAAUGCUGCUGUUCACUGGACUGUAUAUUUAUUUAUUCAAGUCCUGGAAAUCUAGAUGAAAGACAGGAAAGACAGAGGGAUUGUCCUAAUGAAACUGGCAACAAUAAUUGUAAUGAAACCAAAACUGUUUAGGUUUGAAACAGAAUCAUUUAGGUUUGUCCAAAGCUUGGCGUUGUUGGUUCUGUUCCUUUCUGACACUGCAGAUGUGUUUCUGCUAAACCAUUACGUGUCUAGCAUUGAUUCCAUUAAAAACACACUAAGACUGUGGGGGAAGAGUUUUGUCACAGCAGUGAAUCCCUGAGAAGAGCUGUGUGUGACAUAUCAGGACAAAAUGGUUAUUUCAGUGUUUAAGCAGUGUCAGCACAAGGCACACAGCCCCCUUGGAAAUGGGAAAAAUUGGGGAUUGCUGCAAGGCUCCUUCAUCACCCUUCUUUACCCACUUGGUGCUGCUGAGGAAAGGGUUGUGCUGCAGGGAGGAUUUUGCUGGAGCUGGGAAUGGAGCUGCUCCCUCGCCUGGGCAAGGAAUAGCUGAUGGCCAUGGCAUGAAAGGAACACCAUAAUUAUCUCCCACAGCCUGUAUGGGAGUGCUGGUAUGGAAUAUGUCCCUAAACCAGAAAUGUGCCAUCUCUAGUGUUAGGAGAAGUGCUGUUUUUGUUAUGCUUCUCUUCCUCAGAACACAGGAGAAAUCAUAAGAGCUGCCCAGACAAAGGCAGAAAAGGGGAUAUUUUGAGUGAAAAACCUUUGGCUUCAGAUUUUAUUUCCUCCACUGCUGCUGAGGAUACACAAUAAAUCUUCCCUGAUUAUUUUCACUUGAGGCAAUGGUGCACCAGAGUGAUGUGUUCAAGCUUACCCUGGUGCAACAAAUAUCCUCAAUUUACUUUUUUAUAAGCCUGCUAAUUUUCACAGAUUUCUAGAAAGAACUGUUUAGGAACUGAGGAACAGCUGGAUGAUAGAAAGGCAUAUAAACCUUCAAAAUAUCUCCAGUGAAGAAGCAGAGAGUCAGACCAAUGCAUUUCUAUCAGAGAAGUGAGACCCAUCAGAGCUGAUCCUUCAUCAGCUGCCACUGGUGCAGCACUGCUUGUCCUGGGCCACAUCCAAAAGUUGUGUAGGUGACCGGGGUGGCACUUUGCGUCCUCUAGUCCAGAUUGGAGAUUUUUGCUCUGAGCUCUUUGAGCAGAAAGGAGAUGAAAUAUGGUUUCUUUUUGCUCAGAGGGGCCCAAAGGUCUUGGAGGAAAAUCAAUUUGCUUGACAGACUUGGCAAGGAGAGCUCUCAGCUGGUGGCUGGCCUCUCUCCAGGCUCUCCCCCAUCCAGGGACAGGCAGGAUAAUUGAGCAGAUCUUGUUGCAGCAGAGCGGGAUAACGUAUUCAUGGAUGUCCAAGUGACUGAAGAGCUCAGUGCGUAAGCACUCGGGAGAACAAAUCUGUUUGGAGCUGGCUCUUCCUGCCUCUGGAGACAAGGAAUGUGUUUGACCCUGUCCUGUGGCAGGCACCACUUCAAAGUCACUUUGAAAGGGGGCAAUGGAAAGCACUGGGAUGGUUCUCAAAUGUCCAAACACUGAUUUCUCUCAAAAGUGCCCAAGAUUUCCCUUCAGUCUCUGGAUAUACCAUGAAUGAUUGGUUUUAUCAACAGCUAGCUGAUUUUAACAUUUUUCCUCCGUUUUUUUCCUUAUUGCUUUAACUUUUUAACCUUCUUAUCACCUCUAGCUGUGUGUGUUUUGGGCGCUUUUAAAUGAAAUUUCAACAUUGCUCUUUCUCAAGAGAAAGCACUGCUGUUACUUUAGCAGCCUUGCAGACGUACUGCUAUCACUGGUGUAACACAGCAAUGGAAAAAUAUGACUCUCCUUGAACCCUUCUCUGUUUGUUUUUACUGUCACUCUGUGUCUUGGGAUUUAAGGAUCUGAGAAAACCUUCCCUGUGUGCAGUCCCUGGGAGGAGCCAGUGUGUGCUAGCCCAGGUUACCCUGGUCUGAUGGACAGAAGAGUUUUUCAAUUCUUUCCAAUCCCAGUUAGUGGCUGUGAUAGGGAAACUGAAGGAGAGGGGAAAGGGGCUUUUCUCCCUCUCCAAGUGCCCCAUGUCAGCCCUGCCUUCAGCUCUUUGAGCACCUCGUGUUUUCAUAGGAAAGUGUUGUAAAAAGCAAAUUUGUUGUAGGAAUGUGCCUGGUGGUGUUGGCAAUGAUUCCUGUGGUUUCUGUUGCAUUUGUAGGAUGGAGGCUGCUUUAAAUUCAUUACCCUUUCAUUAAGUUUGUUCUGUGGGGCUUUCAUUCACUGCUGUCUGUGGGACCCAAAUAAAUGAGAAUCAAAGAAAAACCCCUUCAAAAGAAGGGUGACCAUGAGCAUUACACAUUUCCUUGUUUAGCAGAGAAAUGAUAAAAUCAUUCUGAGUAUAUGGGAUUGUAAUUACACAAUGAAAAUAUUAAGUCCUAAAUGUCCAGCCUCAUUUCUAACCUGCAUUUAGAGGAAUCUUGCCGUUGUCCUGCUUGGGAGAGCCAAACACCAGAAAAUUCCUGCUGUGAGGGCUCCCUGCCGUGUGGCUCAGCUGCCUCUGGGCUGCACAGGGCAGGUGGGACAGCUCUUGGAGGGGUAGAGCAGAGCAGGCUCUGGCACUGCACAUUUAAGGGCUGUUGUUGGGUUCUUCAGAUCACUUUAGACAAAGUCAGGAGUGAUGUAGCAGAGCUGAUUCUGCCCUGAGGAAGAGAAAGGAGUAACUGACCUGGGAAGAUAAUUUCCCACUCUUUUCUGUGAUCCUGUUCCUGUUUCAAUCUCUGGGACCCAAAACUGUGCAACAUUUUGCAUGACAGAGUCAGCCUGAGAUAAGGUUUCUGAAUGGAAAACAAGUUCAUCCAAGAGUGUGGGAGAUGAGUUUGCAGAAGAUGCUGAAGUAUUACUUGACAUUAUUAACUUGUGUUUUUAAUCAUAAGAUAUAUAUCUGAGAAACUUGAUGGCAUCCUUCUCUUCCCUGGUAAAAAAUGGCACAAGAACAUGUAAGAAAAAUAACUUCAGCCCCUUAUGCCCCAUCUCUGUCACAGGAGCAAUGGGGUAACAGAUUAACAACUCCAUAUUUCCUUUAGAGCCUCCCUUCUCUUGCCACGGGCAGCCACGUGUCCCCUGUCCCUGUAUUACACGGGAAGGACAGCCCUUAGCUGCCACCUCUCCAGUUCUACCAGAGCUGGGCCAAUUAAAGAGACUGUUCUGUAUUUAUUAUGGAAGAGUAACUUACACCCAGUGACAUUUCUGCUGGCUGCUGUUAAAAUCCUCUCCACUCUAAAGUCAGCAGCUUCAUCUCGGAGUGACAAACAGAACUGCUGUUGAAGAAAAUGUUGUCUCCUGAAGUGUUGAAUGUAAAAUUGUUUAAUGGUAAAUAAUACAGCCUGCAAAGUUAUGCUGGGAAAAUGGACUAAAAGGAGAAAUCACAUUUAAUGUCUUUGGGUUUUUGCUCUUUGCAGUUACAGGAAUUGAUCAUGCACAGUUAGUGAGAAGGGUAAGAAAACUCAAGGGAGACAAACACCAACACAUCUCAGGAACAAAAACCACAAAGGCUUCAGAAAAAUGUUCUUUCCUUUCCUUUCUAGUUGUUCUGCUUAUUAUUUGUUGUUGUUUUGGGGCUCAUUUUUUUUAAAGAAACAAUGCAUUUCUUUUAUCUUCCCCUCUUUCUUCCUUUUCAUCUUCUUUCUUAAAUGUCUCAUUAGUUUCUGCUGUGCAGUUGUGCAAGAUGAAAUGUUGUCAGCCUGCGCUGAUGAAUACCUCUCUGCAAGCCUUACAUAAUCCAUCCCAGCCCCAAAUCAGGUUAGUGCAGAAAUAGAGCUUUACACCUUUGAACUGCCAAUUCUGCAGCAGAAAGCAGCCGCUGGCAUCGAGGGCCAGGCCAGGCUGUGCCAGCAGUCAGGAAAAUAUUGCACUAAGUUUGGGACACAGAUGUGAGGAGCUGCAGCCACUUAGCCCAUGUCCUUUGGAAGUCCUCUACCAGUUUAUUAAGGGAGCAAGGAACCAAUUGCAAUUCCUCAUUAAAAAUCACUUCUGCUUAAUUCCUGCAACUCCAGUUGUGGACACUGAACCUCAACCCUAAUGCCUUGGUAAGCACUGCUCUGCAUUUUCCUUGUGCUGAGGCUUCAGCAGUUAUGAACUAGGAAGAAAUUGUCUAAAUAAUCUGCAACACUCAAACAUCUGUUGCUUUCAGGCCACAUUGCAAUGUAAGAACCUUCCUAAAGUAACUGGAAAAGGGACAAGCCCUAAAAAGGGAGAUGAUUUUGUCAUUUUUAGUCAUCAACUUUCUCCAGCCCCUCAGUGAGAAGUGCCCAGCGUUCUCCUGGUGCUGCCACGGUGGAUCCUGUCAGCCUGCAGGAAAUAAAGACUGUAAAGUGAUUUACACUGAAAGCAACAGGCCUUUCCCAUCCUGGUAUAUGUUAGCAUUCAGCAUCCAGGAUUUGUGGCUGCCGGCACAGAAACUCCCAGGAGUGACACUGAAAUCAGCCCCAAUUAUUUUGCAUGUUCUUGUGUAACAAUAGCUGUGCUGAGCUGGAUUCUCAGGAACAGUCUGGCACCUCCCUCCACACCUCCUGCUCCCAGAUCCGCAGUACAGGACUCCACUGGAGGAGUUUCAGAAUCACAGCCAGAGAUCAGCUUCUCACAGAUCCCCACCCACAGGCUGGGUUUUCAUCCAAAGGAAUUUUACUACCUUUGAUUUUGCAUAGGGGCCAAAUCCAGAAAUAACAACAUGCCAAAGUUGGGGAGAUUUGGGACAGGGAAUUCUGUUCAGGUCAGCUAUGAGGGAAACUCUUCAAAGUGUUGCUCAAGUGUGGUGGGCAGAGAGAAAUGAGACCCUUCCUGCUCCCAUUUCCAUCCAUUCAGUGGUUCCUACCUGCCACGUGCUCGUUGCUGUUCCCAACGCCAGGAAUUUGGUGAGCUUGGGGGUUAGACAGAGCAGUGGGGCUGAAUUCAGCACUGCAGAAAACUGCUCAGCUUCUGCAUGGGAGACAGAAAUGUGCAGUUAAAAACCACCACAUCCACCAUCCACGUUUGUGUGGUGGUGUUUUCAGACCUGCCUUCAUCCCCAGCCUUGAAGUGGAAAAAGCAUUUGGAAACAGCUGCAGCAAAGCAAAUGCUUGUAAGGCCUUGCAAGUAUUCUUAGUAUUUAUAAUAAAUAAAGGUAUGAGAAAUCACCACAGGUACAUACAUCUCUCCAUUUCUAGUUUGUCUGAAAUCUAUUAAAUCCCAAUUUGGCUGAAA